AAGUCGUAACAAGGUUUCCGUAGGUGAACCUGCGGAAGGAUCAUUAACACGUAUCCAACGUUAAAAACCCCGUGAACCUUUAUCGCCGCUCCUCAUGGCUAAGUCUUGGAUAAAGCCAACACAGCAAUCCCUGCACUCGUCGAGAAAUGUAAAGAGGAGGGACCUCUGUUUGGUAGAGCACUGUGGGUUUGAGCGCUUGGUAAAAGUCUAAGGAUUUCGCUUAACGAUCACUAGAGGUCGAUUACCGACCGGUGGAACAAGUCACAGGGCUUCGGCUCCCUCCCCAACCCCACUUUCUAUUGCCGCUCCGCGCUAACAACGCCGGGCAUUAAAAAAGGUUUAAACAACUGUUAACAAUGGAUAUCUUGGUUCUC
RNAcentral lists this unclassified non-coding RNA (374 nucleotides) under fungal sp. Its description in RNAcentral is "partial internal transcribed spacer region". The stretch from base 1 to 46 matches the Rfam family "Eukaryotic small subunit ribosomal RNA", at positions 1786 to 1831 of the family's 1831-position model. Lineage: Eukaryota; Fungi. The record is from RNAcentral.